UCACGUAUCCACGUACAAACCACUGUGAACUGUUCUCCCUUUCGGAGGUGCUGGGUUUGGCUAGAUCAAUAUCGCUUCGCUGUCGUGAUAGAAGUGUGGUCUAGCCGUUCCUGAACUCGCUUCAGGACGCCUGUAUCUUUGAAAGCGGUUAUUAUCGCGCAACCUUAACCUUUAUUAACCCCUUUAACCUUUAUGAACUGAAAUUAAGCUUGAUGCGAAGGAGUGCCUCGGCAUUCUUGAAGUCAAGUCUUUAUUACGAAACUAAGAA
This 268-nucleotide unclassified non-coding RNA is filed under the name soil metagenome. RNAcentral describes it as "partial internal transcribed spacer 1". The record is from RNAcentral.